This 309-nucleotide ribosomal RNA is filed under the name uncultured eukaryote. RNAcentral's name for it is "partial 18S ribosomal RNA". It matches the Rfam family "Eukaryotic small subunit ribosomal RNA", at positions 1470 to 1796 of the family's 1831-position model. The record is from RNAcentral.
CCCUUAGAUGUCCUGGGCCGCACGCGCGCUACAAUGACUUGCUCAGAAAGUUUAACCUGGCCCGGAAGGGAUCUGGGUAAUCUUUUAAAUACAAGUCGUGUUAGGGAUCGAUCUUUGCAAUUAUAGAUCUUGAACGAGGAAUGCCUAGUAAGUGCAACUCAUCAGGUUGUACUGAUUACGUCCCUGCCCUUUGUACACACCGCCCGUCGCUCCUACCGAUUUCGAGUGGUACGGUGAACCUUUUGGACUGGACGCAAGUCUGGGAAGUUAAGUAAACCUUAUCACUUAGAGGAAGGAGAAGUCGUAACA